CCCGCACAAGCGGUGAGUAUGUGGUUUAAUUCGAUGCAACGCGAAGAACCUUACCUGGUCUUGACAUCCCGGAGACCCUUAGGAAACUAGGGGGUGCUUCCAUCUGGAAGAAUCUGGAGACAGGUGCUGCAUGGCUGUCGUCAGCUCGUGUCGUGAGAUGUUGGGUUAAGUCCCGCACGAGCGCAACCCUUGCCUUUAGUUGCCAGCAGUUCGGCUGGGCACUCUAAAGGGACUGCCGGUGUUAAACCGGAGGAAGGUGGGGAUGACGUCAAGUCCUCAUGGCCUUUAUGACCAGGGCUACACACGUACUACAAUGGCCGAUACAAAGGGCAGCGACACUGCGAGGUGAAGCCAAUCCCGUAAAAUCGGUCUCAGUCCGGAUUGGAGUCUGCAACUCGACUCCAUGAAGUUGGAAUCGCUAGUAAUCGUGGAUCAGCAUGCCACGGUGAAUACGUUCCCGGGCCUU
Molecule: ribosomal RNA, 466 nt
Filed under: uncultured Desulfobulbus sp.
Lineage: Bacteria; Pseudomonadati; Thermodesulfobacteriota; Desulfobulbia; Desulfobulbales; Desulfobulbaceae
Description: bacterial SSU rRNA
Rfam family: Bacterial small subunit ribosomal RNA
Source: RNAcentral